This is a non-coding RNA of Phrynosoma platyrhinos (Desert horned lizard), 72 nucleotides long. NCBI's taxonomy places the organism in Eukaryota, Metazoa, Chordata, Lepidosauria, Squamata, Phrynosomatidae. The record is from the annotation of a GenBank genome assembly.
GCCAGUGUGGCAUAGUGGUUUGAGUAUUAAAUUAAGAAUCUGGAGACCAGAGUUUGAUUCUCUGCUCAGGCA